AUUGAACGCUGGCGGCAGGCCUAACACAUACAAGUCGAGCGGAUGAAGGGAGCUUGCUCCUGGAUUCAGCGGCGGACGGGUGAGUAAUGCCUAGGAAUCUGCCUGGUAGUGGGGGAUAACGUCCGGAAACGGGCGCUAAUACCGCAUACGUCCUGAGGGAGAAAGUGGGGGAUCUUCGGACCUCACGCUAUCAGAUGAGCCUAGGUCGGAUUAGCUAGUUGGUGGGGUAAAGGCCUACCAAGGCGACGAUCCGUAACUGGUCUGAGAGGAUGAUCAGUCACACUGGAACUGAGACACGGUCCUGACUCCUACGGGAGGCAGCAGUGGGGAAUAUUGGACAAUGGGCGAAAGCCUGAUCCAGCCAUGCCGCGUGUGUGAAGAAGGUCUUCGGAUUGUAAAGCACUUUAAGUUGGGAGGAAGGGCAGUAAGUUAAUACCUUGCUGUUUUGACGUUACCAACAGAAUAAGCACCGGCUAACUUCGUG
RNAcentral lists this ribosomal RNA (484 nucleotides) under uncultured bacterium. Its description in RNAcentral is "partial 16S ribosomal RNA". It matches the Rfam family "Bacterial small subunit ribosomal RNA", at positions 30 to 507 of the family's 1533-position model. The record is from RNAcentral.